UACGUGGGGGGCAAGCGUUGUUCGGAAUUACUGGGCGUAAAGGGCGCGUAGGCGGCCUACUAAGUCGGACGUGAAAUCCCUCGGCUCAACCGAGGAACUGCGUCCGAGACUGGCAGGCUGGAAUCCGGGAGAGGGAUGUGGAAUUCCAGGUGUAGCGGUGAAAUGCGUAGAUAUCUGGAGGAACACCGGUGGCGAAGGCGGCAUCCUGGACCGGUAUUGACGCUGAGGCGCGAAAGCUAGGGGAGCAAACGGG
RNAcentral lists this ribosomal RNA (253 nucleotides) under uncultured bacterium. Its description in RNAcentral is "partial 16S ribosomal RNA". It matches the Rfam family "Bacterial small subunit ribosomal RNA", at positions 524 to 776 of the family's 1533-position model. The record is from RNAcentral.